CAUAUAAGUCAGCAACGAUUUUUGUUGCUUUCCAAUAUUCGAAUAAUAAACAAGUCUGCAUCAUAAUAGGGAUAAUACCAAUUGCAGUUUAAUAUUAUAAAAAGGAAAAUGCUAGGUAAACAAUGACCUUUUUGAACAAUAUGAACAACGGGCCCUAAAAAUUAGCCCAAUUAGAUUACUAACACAGUAUACCCGUAUACACCCCCUCCCAAAUCCAAAUUUUAAUCAUCUUAAUUACUAACAUCAUAAUCAUCCCACCCACUCCCACCUUCUUUGACCAGUAAAAACUUUUCUCCUUCCCCACUAUUCAAACGGCAUUCAAGAAGUAGUAGCCUUUCCCUAUAUUGAAACGGCAUUGACAAAGGAGGACCUUCCCACAUCUGGCGCUUCUUCUCUGCAUCUCGUCGUCCAUCCUGCCCCUCGCCAAACCGACCAUCCCCGGGGCGCCUCCAUUGUGAAGACGAGUAGCAGCAGGCGAAUCCCCCUGUUGCCGUCGCGUGGAAGUCACCCAGCCCCCACCCGCGUUGUCUUUUAACGGUCAUCUCCCAAGGUUGAAGUCCCUGCAUGUCCGCGCCGCUUGGAGUCUUCCUCGGACAAAACCAGAGCAACCGUGGUGCGUGUUUGCUUUCCCCUAUUGAAGCGGAAAAAUUAUACUAGAUGAAUGUUUAAAGUUGAGCAUUGUGACAUGAUCUACAGCAUUUAGGAAGCAAUUGUUACUAAUCUCUAGAGCCUAUCAAAUUGAUUAUAUUAUGACUUGUUUUGGUAACUUUCUUAACCAGAAGUUCAAUUUUGACUAUUACGCUUCCAAGAACCUUGUUUUACUUGAUUUUCUGUUAUCUGCCUGGGUACUCAUACUGCGCACGACUUUGGGUGUUCUGCUGCUUCAUGGAUGCUUGGAUUAAAGCGAACUAUAUGAAAUUUGAUGGAGUUUGGGCUUGAUAUUUUAGAAUUCUUUUCUUUAUCUGUUUUUAGUUCAUGUGAUUGACUUUUAAUUUCUAUGAAUUACGGAUGUUCAAUUUUGUAAGAAAUGAUGAAUGCAAAAAAGAGAUGGCUUUUAGUGGUGGCUUCACUAGAUAUGAGUUAAAUUGGUUGUAAAUACUAUAGUUGCAUAAUGUUUGAUGUCUACAUAUUUAUGAUAUUAUUAUUUUCGAUCAUGGAUGUUGUAAAGACUCGUGUUAAACUUUUAAAAAUAAUACAUAGUUAUAUAGAAAUAAUAUUUUUUAUGCGUAUGAAAUUUUCUAAAUAAUGCGAGCGGACUAUUAUACUACAUGAAUGUCAAAAAUUUACGGUUUUAAAAUGAUCUAAAUCAUUUAUGAAGCAAUUUUUAGUGUUAAUAAUUUCUAGUGCCUAUUAAGCAAUUUUUAUUAGGAAUUGUAUUGGUUCAUUUUGUAAUCGGAAGGCCAUUUUUUACUCAUUCCUUUCUACAGAGCCUGUUAAGCCCGAUUUUUGGUUCUUUGCCUAUUUACUUGUAUUGCGCAUGGCAUUCUGUUGUUCUGCCGUUGAUUUCCAAUUUUUUUUUUAAAUUACAACAUAGUUAGUAAUAUCACAUGGUGCACGAAUGCUUAGAUUAAAGCGAAUUGUAUGAAAUUUGUUGCAGUUUGGUGAUUGAUUUAUUUGAUUUAUUUUGUAUAUCUAUGUGUGGUUCAUGUGAUUGACUUUGAACUCUAUACACUAUGGAUGUUCAAUUUCGUAAGAAAACAUCAUACCUAAAUGGAAAAGUAUUUUUCUGGUGGCUAACCUACAUAUGUAUUAAUAUGGGAGUCAUUACUAUGGCAGCUUAAUUGUUGAUGGCAACAUAUUUAUUUGUUAAUCCUUCUAGAAAUAUGGGAGUCAUUACAUGGCAGCUUAUGGUUGAAUGUUUCCUGACAGGCAAGAACCUGCUCUGAGUUUCAGUUGCUGAAUAGCAUUUAAAUAGAGAAAAAGGUUAUCAGUGUUUUGUUAUUACGAAGUAUUGAUUCCUAUUAUUUCUAAUAACUUGUAUUGUGUUUCUUAAUAGAAAUUAGUGGAGACGCGAUGUUCUCGAUGCUACAUCAACGGGAUGAUUAACCACUUGCAAGAAAUUAAUACUGAUGCGAAGCUAGCUGAGAUUGACGCUGUUGGGUUUGGCUUUGUGAAGAAGAUUCCUCACUGGGCAGUGAAGUAGAAGAUAAUGAUUCAACUAGCCAGGGCUUAUGAUGUGGAGACAAACACACUUAUAGUGGAUGUCAGGAACAUCCGAAUUAAUGCUGAGUUAAUAGGGAGGGCGUUAGGGAUACCCUAUAGUGGUAAGCUCCUUAUUUUUACUUGUGAAUUUGUUGUCAUAUAUGGUUCGGUGGGUUUUGCUCUUAGCUAUCGUUAAAUUUAUUCUAUUUGCUUGUUUCACUCUGAAAUGUAGGUGUUGACAUUCCAAAAAUAGAAAAAAAAAAAAAAAAGAAUCCGGCUCACCGGGAAAUCAAAGAGUAAUUUAAAAA
Molecule: non-coding RNA, 2450 nt
Organism: Arachis ipaensis
Lineage: Eukaryota; Viridiplantae; Streptophyta; Magnoliopsida; Fabales; Fabaceae
Source: RefSeq, a predicted model, not a curated record